This 347-nucleotide unclassified non-coding RNA is filed under the name soil metagenome. RNAcentral's name for it is "partial contains 5.8S ribosomal RNA, internal transcribed spacer 2, and large subunit ribosomal RNA". The stretch from base 1 to 120 matches the Rfam family "5.8S ribosomal RNA", at positions 35 to 154 of the family's 154-position model. The record is from RNAcentral.
GAUGAAGAACGUAGUGAAAUGCGAAAAGUAAUGUGAAUUGCAGAAUUCAGUGAACCAUCGAAUCUUUGAACGCACAUUGCGCCCGCUGGAACUCCGGCGGGCACGCCUGUCCGAGCGUCAUUUCAACCCUCAGGCCCCCCUUCGCGGGCGGGCCUGGUGUUGGGGCCCGGCCGCUACCCUGCGGCCGUCCCCUAAAUUCAGUGGCGGCCUCGCCGUGAUCCCUUGCGUAGUAAUGCACCUCGCACCGGAGAGCGCCGUGGCCACGCCGUAAAACCCCCAAUUUUCAAUGGUUGACCUCGGAUCAGGUGGGAAUACCCGCUGAACUUAAGCAUAUCAAUAGCGGAGGA